GGAGAGGUGCCGGAGCGGCCGAACGGGCACGCCUGGAAAGCGUGUGAUCUGAAAGGAUCCGUGGGUUCAAAUCCCACCCUCUCCG
This 85-nucleotide transfer RNA is filed under the name Actinomycetota bacterium. RNAcentral's name for it is "tRNA-Ser". It matches the Rfam family "tRNA". From Rfam's summary of the family: Transfer RNA (tRNA) molecules are approximately 80 nucleotides in length. Their secondary structure includes four short double-helical elements and three loops (D, anti-codon, and T loops). Lineage: Bacteria; Bacillati; Actinomycetota. The record is from RNAcentral.